This 499-nucleotide ribosomal RNA is filed under the name uncultured bacterium. RNAcentral's name for it is "partial 16S ribosomal RNA". It matches the Rfam family "Bacterial small subunit ribosomal RNA", at positions 29 to 507 of the family's 1533-position model. The record is from RNAcentral.
ACGAACGCUGGCGGCAUGCCUCAUCCAUGCCAGUCGCGCGAACAUUUCUAGAAGCUUGCUUCUAUAAAUGUUAGCGGCGGAUGGGUGAGUAACACGUGGGCAACCUGCCCUGCAGAUGGGGAUAACUCCGGGAAACCGGGGCUAAUACCGGAUAAUCAGUUUGUCCGCAUGGACAAACUCUAAAAGACGGCUUCGGCUGUCACUGCAGGAUGGGCCCGCGGCGCAUUAGCUAGUUGGUGGGAUAACGGCCUACCAAGGCAAAGAUGCGUAGCCGACCUGAGAGGGUGAUCGGCCACACUGGGACUGAGACACGGCCCAGACUCCUACGGGAGGCAGCAGUAGGGAAUCUUCCACAAUGGACGGAAGUCUGAUGGAGCAAUGCCGCGUGAGCGAAGAAGGUGUUCGGAUCGUAAAGCUCUGUUGUGAGGGAAGAACAAGUACGGGAGUAACUGCCCGUACCUUGACGGUACCUCAUGAGAAAGCCACGGCUAACUACGUG